ACAGCAUCCUCAACUUCAGAAAUUCCCACAAGCACAGUUGUGAGUAAAGAAACCACACCUAUUACUUCAACAGUGGUGCCUACAACUUCAGAGAGUACAACAGCAGAAACCACGACUACAGCUUCAUCAACAAUUUCUACAACAACAAACAAUCCAACAUCAAAAGCUGUAACUUCAGCAUCCACAGCUCUCACUUCAACAACAGUGCCUGCAUCUUCAGAAACAACUGCACCUGUAACAACUUCAGUAACUACAGCAUCCUCAACUACUGAAAUUCCUACAACCACAGUUGUGAGUACAGAAACCACACCUAUUACUUCAACAGUGGUGCAUUCAACUUCAGAAAGUACAACACUAGAAACCACGACUACAGCUUCAUCAUCCACACCUGCAACAACAAACAAUCCAACAACAUCAACAGUUGUACCUUCAGAAUCCACAACUCUCACUUCAACAACAUUGCCUACAUCUUCAGAAACAACUGCACCUGUAAAAACAUCAGUAACUACAGCAUCCUCAACUUCUGAAAUUCCCACAAGCACAGUUGUGAGUAAAGAAACCACACCUAUUACUUCAACAGUGGUGCCUACAACUUCAGAGAGUACAACAGCAGAAACCACGACUACAGCUUCAUCAUCCACACCUGCAACAACAAACAAUCCAACAACAUCAACAGUUAUACCUUCAGAAUCCUCAACUCUCACUUCAACAACAUUGCCUACAUCUUCAGAAACAACUGCACCUGUAACAACUUCAGUAACUAAAGCAUCCUCAACUAUCAAAAUUUCCACAACCACAGCUGUGAGUACAGAAACCACACCUAUUACUUCAACAGUGUUGCCCACAACUUUGAAGAGUACAACAGCUGAAACCAUGACUACAGCUUCAUCAACCACACCUACAAAAACGAACAAUCCAACAACAUCAACAUUUGUAACUUCUGAAUCUACAACUCCUACUUCAACAGUUAUAGCUACAUCUUCAGAAACAACUACACCUCUAACAAAAUCAGUAACUACAGCAUCCUCAACUACUGAAAUUCCCACAACCACAGUUGUGAGUACUGAAUCCAUAACUCUUACUUCAACAGCUAAGCCUACAUCUUCAGAAUCUACUGCAACUGUAACAUCAGUAACUACAGUAUCCUCAAAAACCUAUAUUCCCACAACCACGGUUGUGAGAACAGAAACCACACCUAUCAUUUCGACAGUGGUGCCUACAACUUCAGAGAGUACAACGGCAGAAGCUAUGACUACGGCUUCAUCAACUAUAUUUACAGCAAAGAACACUCCAACAACAUCAACAGCUGUAACUUCAGAAUCCUCAACUCUCACUUCAACAACAGUGCCUACAUCUUCAGAAACAACUGCACCUGUAACAACAUCAGUAACUACAGCUUCCUCACCUACAACUGUACCUUCCUCUAUGACAUCAGCUCCAAUGUCAUCUGAAGCUCCAAGUACAACAACAUCUAAAACCACAUUGCUGCUUGCAACCACAUCUACUGGAGCUCUCACAUCCACUGUUGUGACUUCAGGAGCAACAACUCUUACGUCUACAACAAUGCCUACAACAUCAGAAAGUACAACUACACCUGCAGCAAGCACAACUGCAGCUUCCACAGCCACAGUGGGGCCAUCCACUACUGUGACUACAGCUUCCGAAAUUACAACUGCAUCUUCAACAUCUACAGCUUCCUCAGCUGCGAUAGUGCAUUCUACUACUACAUCAUCAUCUCCAACCUCAUCUGAAUCUCGAGGUACAGCAACUAAUUAUCCAACAACAUCAACAGCUGUAAUUUCAACAACAAUGGCUACAUCUUCAGAAACAUCUGCACCUGUAACAACAUCAGUAACUACAGCUUCCUCAUCUAUAAAUGUACCUUCCUCUAUGACAUCAGCUCCAAUGUCAUCUGAAGCUCCAAGUGCAACAACAGCUCAAACCACAAUGCCACUUGCACCUGCAACUACUGAAACACUCACAAUCACCAAAAUGACUUCAGAAACCACAACUGCACCAACAACAUCGAUAACUACAACGUCCACAACUACCACUGUAGCUUCAACGACAACAGCAGCUUCUCUUGCAACAACCACAACUACAGCUUCCAUCACCACAACCAUUCCUUCCACUUCUACAUCAGAUCAAACCACACCUAAGGCUGCAAGUACAACAUCAAAAGGUCCGAACACAAAUUCAGAAAGUAUAACUUCACCUGCUGUAACCACAGAUUCCACAACCAUGAUGGAAUAUUCAACUACUACAUCAAGUUUAACCCCAGCCACAACUACUGAAACCUCAACUCUUACUUCACCAACAAUGUCUACAACUUCAGAAAGUACUCCUGCACCUGCAACAUCCACCAUUACAGCUUCCUCUUCUACGAAUAACUAUCCCACAACAGAAAAUCCAUCUCAAACCUCAACUUCAAUUCCAGGCACAAACACACCUACAGCGGCAACAACAACUGCAUUCCGAAUAACAACUGCACCUCUAUCAACCACAACUAUUGCUUUCACUAAUACAGCUCCAGCUCUAAGCCAAGCAGGACUCCUUACCACAACAAAUGCACCUCCAAUUAUCACAACUGUGUCUCCGGAGACUGUAACUAUUGCUGUAACAAUUAUGCCUAUCUCAUCAUCACAUGUAACUAUAUCCCCAACUUUAACUCCAAUAAAAACAACUGAACCUCCAAGAACCCCAACUACACCCAUUACAACCAUGACUGUUCUUCCCACCACUACAGUUCCAGCUGAUAUCUCAACUACAGCUCCAACCACAACAACAGCCACUAUUCCAAGUUCAACUGCAGCUCAAACAACAACUGCAUUUCAAGUAACAACAGGAGAUCUUUUAAGAACAACUGUAGCUUUUACCAACACAUCUUCUGCUCCAGCCACACUUGCACUUUCAACCAAAACAACUCCAAUCCCAAACAUGGAUUCAGAAACUACAACUGCAUCAACAACUACAACUGGAAUUAAUACAGGUCUCACCAGUGCAGCAGAAUUUCCAAUAGCUCCAAUAACAUCAGUUUCAAACACAAAUGCAUCAACAUCCCCAGCAUCUACAAUUCCAAGUCAAUCAUCAAUCAAAACAACACCAGCUGAAACUCUUUCUAGCAAUACUACACCUCUAAACAAUGCAACAAAAGCAGAUGCAUCUGCAACACUUCAAAGUACUUCAAGUUUGCAACCAGAAACUUCAAACAUACCCAAAACAUUGUCAACAAAUGUGACUGGUGCAGCAACAGUCACAACCAUAUUGGUAUUCUCAUCCUUGUCGUCAGUGCCCAAUGAAAAUUUGGUCCUAGGUGCUAUCAGUACUCUUCUGGAAUCUAGACAGUCCCAACUCAAUGGAUCACUGAAGAUUGUAAAAUUUACUUAUCAGAAAAUCUCAGAAACCUCCUAUGCUGUGGUCUUUACAUUUAACGUGAUUAACAUCAGCAUGCCAGAGGACCCUGUGUCUAGAGGCAACACCAACCAGAAAGUGCAGGAUACCAUCAAUAAUGCGCUGAACACUCUUCUGAAUGAACCUGGAAGUCCAACUUUACAACCAAAGUCCUCCAACUUCACAAGCACUUCAAACCAGAUUGAUGGCAGGAUGGAAUACAGCUUCCAGGAUGGAGAUGUCAUACAACCAGUCAGCUUCCUCAAUGAGCUACGUCUACCAACCACUACAACAGUGUUUCCAGAAACAACAACCAGUGUUUCUGUUACUACUCCAAACCUCAUAUCUGGUUCAGCAGUGGUCACAAGCAAGCUGGUGUUCAACUCCUCAUCUCCAGUCCCCAGUGAAUCUCUAGUCCUCAAUGCAAUCAAAACUCUGCGUAAUUCCAGAGAGUCACAGCUCAAUGAAUCGGUGAAGGUGGUGAAUGUCACCUAUGAGAAAAUGUCAGAAACCUCCUAUGCUGUGGUCUUUACAUUUAACGUAAUUAACAUCAGCAUGCCAAAGGAACCUGUGUCUAGAGGCAACACCAACCAGAAAGUGCAGGAUACCAUCAAUAAAGCGCUGAAUACUCUUCUGAAUGAACCUGGAAGUCCAACUUUUCAACCAAAGUCAUCAAACUUCACAAGCACUUCAAACCAGAUUGAUGGCAGAAUGGAAUACACCUUCCAGGAUGGAGAUGUCAUACAACCAGUCAGCUUCCUCAAUGAGCUUCGUUCACAGACAGUCUUAACGACAGCCAGCACUCUGACAACUACUCCACUGAUAGUGCGUGGCAAAGCGCUUAUAUUCAUUCGCCUCGUGUUUGUCACACUGGGCCCCCUGCCAAAUCCAGAGAAGGUUCUUGAGGUGGCCAACACUCUGCUUCAGACGCGUCUCAAAACUAAACAAGACACCAGUACUCAAGACCUGAGUGAUCCUGUGAGCUUUGUCAAUGUCACAUAUACAAAAAUAAAUGAGACGGCCUAUGCUCUCAACUUUGGAUUUGAAAUCAGCAAUAUAACCAUGACAGAGAAGCUUGAACUCAGGAAUGGCACCCACCUGUUAAUACAAGACUCUAUAAACUCAUUGCUGGGCAAGAUCCUUCUCAGUAACUCAUCAGCGCCUAUCAUUAAGUUCCAACCAGCUGAUUUCACGGGUAAUUCCACAGUAAUUAAGGCCAAUGUAGAGUAUGUUUUCUCACCAAGUGACAUCACGCAACCCAGCAUCUUUGUUCAGGAACUUCUCCAACUUAAUGAAGCGAGCACUCUGACAAGCACAACUUCACCACCGAUCUUGACUAGGAGGGCAAUUAUUAAGAUUCGUCUGGAGUUUAUCACACUGGGCCCAAGACCAAGUGAGAGUAAUGUUCUACAGGUGGUUAAAUCUAUGCUGGCCACAAAUCUCACAACUAAACUAACCACGAGAGUAACAAGCGUGAGCGAACCUGUGACCUUGAAUAAUGUUGUGUAUAUCGGAAUUAAUGACACCGCCUACGCACUGAUUUUUGCAUUCGAAAUGAACAAAGUAUUACUGACAGAGAUACAAAGGCAAGAAGCCUACAAAGAAAUCCAAAACAAGAUAAAUGAUUUGGUGAAGCAGAUACUAAAGGACCCCUCGGUUAAUCUGCUCAUUCCAGCCGAUUUCAAGGAUGAUCUCCUUGUGAUCGAGGCCAAUGUUACGUAUGUUUUCUCAGAACGUAACAGUAACACGGGCUCCGGUUUCUUGGUCAGUGCCCUUUUCAAGGCUUUUACCACACCAGCUCCAACCACCAUGAACACUACAAUCUCAAACAACAGUACUAAUGCAGCAUGGAUUGUGGCUAUCAUUGUCCCCUGUGCUAUUGUCAUCGGGCUCGUACCUUGCUGGAUUCUCCUUUGCUGUUUGCUGUGUGGUUGCUGUGCAGCAAUCAGAAGACGCUGGCACAGAAGACAGUCGUACAAUGUGCAGUACACCACUCGAAACAGUCUCUUCUAAAGAGUUCUGAGAUAUUUGACAAAAGCAGGACUGAAAACCAAUGAGAACAUAAAAAUCAUGGAUUUUGGAUAUUCAAUAUGCUAUCAAUACUGCUUCUUUUGUAGUAUUGAAAGUACUAUGUUAAUGCUUCUUUAUAAACUAUUUAUUUUAUUAUCCUAGACAAACAGGUCCUCCAUAAAAUAUUCCUUAAUGUGACAUUUUAAUACGUCCUAUAGUCUAUAAUGAAAUUGUAUUAUUGUUAUUUAUUUGUAUUUAUUUGUAAUAUUCUGUUUAUGUUUACAGUUAAUCUUUUGCAAAUCAUUAAUCUGCUUGACAUUACACAUUUUAAUUUAAAGGGACAAAAGGUAGAACAUUAGCUAUUAUUUAUUCAUACUCCAUGCACUUUAACUUUAUAAAUGUAAAGGAAGCUUGUGAUGUAAAGGAAAUGCAAAAAAAGCUCAUUUACGUAAGUCAUUGGCAUGAACAUGUUAAACUGAAAAA
Long non-coding RNA from Cyprinus carpio carpio, 5883 nucleotides. The record is from Ensembl. Lineage: Eukaryota; Metazoa; Chordata; Actinopteri; Cypriniformes; Cyprinidae.